GAAAGCAGCCCUGUCUUUGCCUUCUCGUUAAAAUGAGGAGAAAGAGGAAACUAAGAGGUCUGGCUAAGUGUUUUCAAACUUAAUUCACACAGAAUCUAAUGUUAUUAAUGAUAUUACAGAUUCAUUUUGCCAGAGUGAGUUUUUUACCAUAAUCUUGUAGGUUUGCACUUCCAUGGCUGUUCUUACCAUGACCACUUCUCUAUUUCUUAUCUUGUCUAAAUUAACAUAACUUAGUUAUGCUCCGGGACUGAAUGGUCAGGCUUUCCAUAGGAAUGGCAGCCACAAAAACGCUAUCAGUAAUUUCCUGCCCAGUUAGGAUUUCACUUAUUACUGAUUCUUUCAAUUCAAAAAUAUAGACGGCAAAGCCAGAAACGGUCUCUGCCUGUGUGGGGCUUCCAGUCCAGAGAGGCAGAAGCCAUCAUUCAAUAGUCAUGAACGGGAGUUAAAUUAGGAUUCUGAAAGGUUUUCCAAACAGAGGCAACGGGAGUUCCAGGCUCUUCCAACAGGGGGCGCCGCCCAACAGGGACGUCAGGACCCAGCUGCGGUCUGAAGGACAAGGAGAGGCUUGACGCUUCAUCAUAACUCCCACAGGCCCUUCAUUCCACAGUUGAAAUUCUUCUGGGAAAUCUAUUUGACUCUGCAUUUCACACGUCAAAAUCAUUUUCUUCCUUCCUGGUUGGGAAACAGCAAUUAAGGUUCUUCAGUUUAGCAAAAGUUACAAUAUGUCGAUGUCUUGCACAGCCUGUUGCUAAAUUCCCCCAAGACCUUGAGGUGCACUCCAUUCAGACAACUUCUCUUCCCUCUUAGGGUACUUUGCAC
Molecule: long non-coding RNA, 819 nt
Filed under: Homo sapiens (human)
Lineage: Eukaryota; Metazoa; Chordata; Mammalia; Primates; Hominidae
Description: novel transcript
Source: RNAcentral